GGUUGAUCCUGCCAGUAGUCAUAUGCUUGUCUCAAAGAUUAAGCCAUGCAUGUCUAAGUAUAAACAUCUUUAUACAGUGAAACUGCGUACAGCUCAUUAUAUCAGUAAUGAUUUAUUUGAUGGUACCUUACUACAUGGAUACCCGUAGUAAUUCUAGAGCUAAUACAUGCGUAAAAUCCUGACUCGUGCAAGCGGGAAGGGAUGUAUUUAUUAGAUAACAAAAUCAAUGCAGAUUAGCAAUAAUCUGGUUCUUUGGUGACUCAUAGUAACUGUUCGAAUCGCAUGGCUUUAU
Molecule: ribosomal RNA, 292 nt
Filed under: uncultured eukaryote
Lineage: Eukaryota
Description: partial 18S ribosomal RNA
Rfam family: Eukaryotic small subunit ribosomal RNA
Source: RNAcentral